RNAcentral lists this ribosomal RNA (460 nucleotides) under uncultured bacterium. Its description in RNAcentral is "partial 16S ribosomal RNA". It matches the Rfam family "Bacterial small subunit ribosomal RNA", at positions 338 to 795 of the family's 1533-position model. The record is from RNAcentral.
CCUACGGGAGGCAGCAGUGAGGAAUAUUGGUCAAUGGGCGCGAGCCUGAACCAGCCAAGUAGCGUGAAGGAUGACUGCCCUACGGGUUGUAAACUUCUUUUAUAAUGGAAUAAAGUGAGGCACGUGUGCCUUUUUGUAUGUACUUUAUGAAUAAGGAUAGGCUAACUCCGUGCCAGCAGCCGAGGUAAUACGGAGGAUCCGAGCGUUAUCCGGGUUUAUUGGGUUUAAAGGGAGCGUAGAUGGGUUGUUAAGUCAGUUGUGAAAGUUUGCGGCUCAACCGUAAAAUUGCAAUUGAUACUGGCAGUCUUGAGUACAGUAGAGGUAGGCGGAAUUCGUGGUAUAGCGGUGAAAUGCUUAGAUAUCACGAAGAACUCCGAUUGCGAAGGCAGCUUACUAAACUGCCACUGACAUUGAGGCUCGAAAGUGUGGGUAGCAAACAGGAUUAGAUACCCGAGUAGUC